Molecule: long non-coding RNA, 250 nt
Filed under: Ananas comosus (pineapple)
Lineage: Eukaryota; Viridiplantae; Streptophyta; Magnoliopsida; Poales; Bromeliaceae
Description: long non-coding RNA (ACOM_LNC043708)
Source: RNAcentral
CUAUGUUCAUAUGACGAACAUCUCGUGUCCACAUCAAACAUCCUCAGAAUCCGCAUUAUGAUUAACGGAUAAGGCAACCUCUCUGACUGACUAGAAGUCUUGAUGUCUUUAGCCAUACGGCGCCAAACCAAAAAUGGAACAUUAAGAUUGAUCUUCCUAUCACGAACCACAUUCGGCUGACCCACCAAAUACAUAUAAAGCAUGCGAUCCCAACGCACCACCUUCGUGUUAGCCAACGGCAUUAUAUUNN